AAAGGAGGCGUCCAAAGGGAUCGCAUUGAUCCCAUUUUUGUUUCUAUUAAUUUAAGAAACUGAAUUUGGAUCAUGCUAUCCCUUUGGACUCCUCCUU
Non-coding RNA from Nicotiana sylvestris (wood tobacco), 97 nucleotides. The record is from Rfam. NCBI's taxonomy places the organism in Eukaryota, Viridiplantae, Streptophyta, Magnoliopsida, Solanales, Solanaceae.